GCGAUUACCACCCUGUUGGCUCAGCGCCGCCCUUGCGCCGACCGGACUCCGCGGCCGCCGCGCCUUCUCACCGACUGCCAGUGCCAGCCAAGGAAAGCCCCGCCGCGUCGCGUCAGCGCUACGCUGAUCCGUCAGCGGAGUGAAGUAGGCCGUUUCUGGCGGCGGGGAAGGGGGUCUUUCGUAGCAACGGCGAGCCCCCUACCCUAAACCCUAGGUGCGACUCGCCCCAGCCAAGCGCUGUUUCCGGAUCCCCCCCCUUCGCCGGCGAUGAACCGGCGGCCGGAGCUCUGCAGGAACUACCAGCGCGGCAGCUGCAAGUACGGGGCGCAGUGCAGGUUCGUGCACGCCAACUCCAACCAACAGCAGCAGCAGCAGGCGAAGCCCAACCCCUUCGGGUUCGGCGCCGGGAGCAGGCAGCAGCCGCAGCAGCAGCCGUUCGGUGUGCAGUCCCAGCAGUUUCAGCAGCAGCAGCAGCAGCAGCAGAAGCCCAAUCAAUUUGGGUUCGGCGUGCAAGGCGGCGCCGCCCAGCAGCGGAACGAGCCUGGCCCGGCCAAGCCUUUUCAAAAUAAGUGGGUGAGGGAUCCCUCGGCGCCGCCGACGAAGCAAGCGGAGGCGCAGCCAGCACCGCAGGCGGCCCACACAUCCUGUACAGACCCCGAGUCCUGCAGGCAACAGAUAUCUGAUGACUUCAAGAAUGAGGCUCCCCUGUGGAAGCUUACUUGUUAUGCUCAUCUCAGAAGUGGUCCUUGUGACAUUACGGGGGAUAUUAGCUAUGAGGAGCUGAGAGCUAAAGCAUACGAAGAGGGCAAACAAGGGAAGCCUAUGCAGUCAAUAGUUGAAGGAGAAAGAAAUCUACAAAAUGCAAAGUUGACGGAGUUCACUAAUUUGCUGAACAAGGCACGUGCAACACCAAGCUUUCCUACUGCAGGCUCCUUCCCAGAAGUGAAAAAUAACUCAACCUUUGGGAGUUCUCAAACUAAUGGACCACCUGUGUUUAGUAGUUUCAAUCAACUUGGAGCAGCAACAAAUUUUGGAUCUGGGCCAAGAACUGCCGCACCAGGAGUUCCAACGAAUACCAUUUUCGGUCAGCCUACACAGUCUACUCCAUCGUUUGGUGCCCCUACUUUUGGCAGUACUGGAAUGAGAUUUGGAGUUCCAGUUGGGAGCCAUACAUCAAAGCAAUCAUUUGGGAGUUACCAAGGCUCGAGCAUGUCCAGCAACAGCAAUUUUCAGAACUCUACUUCGUCUGGCCAUCACAGAGACAUUGAUAAGCAGUCAGUGGAGUUACUUAAUGGGAUGACACCACGUACAAGUGCCAUGGACCAGGCACCUGUUGAAGACAGUAGAAAUGAAAAACAGGAUGAUAGCAUUUGGCUGAAGGAAAAAUGGGAAAUUGGACAGAUACCGCUGGAUGAGCCGCCACAGAGGCAUGUUAGCCAUGUAUUCUAAGAAGUCGCGGAAUUUUGCAAUUGUGGAGGCAUGAUCCUGUCAAUGCCCUUUAGUGGUUUCUUUCUAUGUAGUUGAGGUGGCAUCAAAGUCUCCUCCUCCUGAGCUCAGUGAUGAUACGGAGAAGCAAGCUGGAGAGUGUACAAUAAUGUAGAUGAAGGCAGAUCGAUUCGAUGCGGUGCUUGGCACCACUUACUUUUGCUUGCCCCCGUUUACAGAAGGCAACUAGAGGUAGAAACUAUAGAAAGCAAACAGUUGACCAGUCUCUGCUGCAUGUAGUACAUCAUGUGUUUAUUACAUGCCUUAUUCAUGAAGUGAUAUGCGGAGGAACCAAAGUAAACCGGAA
Molecule: RNA transcript, 1792 nt
Organism: Aegilops tauschii subsp. strangulata
Lineage: Eukaryota; Viridiplantae; Streptophyta; Magnoliopsida; Poales; Poaceae
Gene name: zinc finger CCCH domain-containing protein 46
Source: RefSeq, a predicted model, not a curated record